UGGGGAAUAUUGCACAAUGGGGGAAACCCUGAUGCAGCAACGCCGCGUGAGUGAUGACGGCCUUCGGGUUGUAAAGCUCUGUCUUCAGGGACGAUAAUGACGGUACCUGAGGAGGAAGCCACGGCUAACUACGUGCCAGCAGCCGCGGUAAUACGUAGGUGGCAAGCGUUGUCCGGAUUUACUGGGCGUAAAGGGAGCGUAGGCGGACUUUUAAGUGAGAUGUGAAAUACCCGGGCUCAACCUGGGUGCUGCAUUUCAAACUGGAAGUCUAGAGUGCAGGAGAGGAGAGUGGAAUUCCUAGUGUAGCGGUGAAAUGCGUAGAGAUUAGGAAGAACACCAGUUGCGAAGGCGGUCUCUUGGUCCGACACUGACGCUGAGGCGCGAAAGCGUGGGGAGCAAACA
RNAcentral lists this ribosomal RNA (402 nucleotides) under uncultured bacterium. Its description in RNAcentral is "bacterial SSU rRNA". It matches the Rfam family "Bacterial small subunit ribosomal RNA", at positions 355 to 774 of the family's 1533-position model. The record is from RNAcentral.